Molecule: ribosomal RNA, 1520 nt
Filed under: gut metagenome
Description: bacterial LSU rRNA
Rfam family: Bacterial large subunit ribosomal RNA
Source: RNAcentral
GCGUAGUCGAUGGACAACAGGUUUAUAUUCCUGUACUGCUUAUAGGACUGAUGGAGUGACGGAGAAAGCUAGAAAGAGCCAGUUAUUGGAUUCUGGUCUAAGCGUUUAGGUUGAUGCACAGGAAAAUCCGUGAUAUCGAUAAGACUGAAGCGUGAUGGCGACGUGGUCUACGGACCGCUAAGUCUUUUGAAGCUAUGCUUCCAAGAAAAACUUCUAAAGAUAUGUUAUAAGUACCCGUACCUAGAACCAACACAGGUGGUCAAGGAGAGAAUCCUAAGGUGAGCGAGAGAACUAUGGUUAAGGAACUCGGCAAAAUUACCCCGUAACUUCGGAAUAAGGGGAGGUUUCUUCGGAAACCCGCAGUGAAUAGGUCCAGGCAACUGUUUACCAAAAACACAGGUCUCUGCUAAAGCGUAAGCUGAUGUAUAGGGGCUGACGCCUGCCCAGUGCUGGAAGGUUAAGAUGAUUUGUUAGGUGGACGAAAGUCGAUAACACCGAAGCUUUGAUUUGAAGCCCCAGUGAACGGCGGCGAUAACUAUAAUCGUCCAAAGGUAGCGAAAUUCCUUGUCAGGUAAGUUCUGACCCGCACGAAAGGCGUAAUGAUCUGGACGCUGUCUCAACCAUAGACUCGGUGAAAUCUUAAUACCUGUGAAAAUGCAGGUUACCCGCGACAGGACGGAAAGACCCCAUGGAGCUUUACUGUAGCUUGAUAUUGAAGUUAGGUAAUUUAUGUAGAGGAUAGGUGGUAGACUAUGAUGUAUGGACGCCAGUUCAUACGGAGUCGCCCUUGGAAUACCACCCUUAAAUUAUUUGACCUCUAACUUACUCCCGUUAUCCGGGAGGAGGACAGUGUCUGGUGGGCAGUUUGACUGGGGCGGUCGCCUCCCAAAGAGUAACGGAGGCGCUCAAAGGUUCCCUCAGAUUGGUCGGAAAUCAAUCAAAGAGUGUAAUGGUAUAAGGGAGCUUGACUGCGAGACCUACAAGUCGAGCAGGUGCGAAAGCAGGACAUAGUGAUCUGGCGGUAGAAUAUGGAAUUGCCGUCGCUUAACGGAUAAAAGUUACCCUGGGGAUAACAGGCUGAUAGCGCCCAAUAGUUCACAUAGACGGCGCUGAUUGGCACCUCGAUGUCGGCUCGUCACAUCCUGGAGGUGGAUUCGCUUCCAAGGGUUGGGCUGUUCGCCCAUUAAAGUGGCACGCGAGCUGGGUUCAGAACGUCGUGAGACAGUUCGGUCCCUAUCCGUCGUGGGCGUAGGAAAAUUGAGGAGAGCUGUUCCUAGUACGAGAGGACCGGAAUGGACAUACCUCUGGUGUAUCUGUUGUAACGCCAGUUGCAGUGCAGAGUAGCUAUGUAUGGACGGGAUAACCGCUGAAAGCAUCUAAGCGGGAAGCCUCCUCCAAGAUGAAUUUUCCCAUUCUUCGUGAAGUAAGAUUCCUUGUAGACUACGAGGUUGAUAGGCUAGAGGUGGAAGCGUAGUGAUACGUUGAGCUGACUAGUACUAAUAGAUCGAGGAUUUAACUUA